Molecule: long non-coding RNA, 549 nt
Organism: Lolium perenne
Lineage: Eukaryota; Viridiplantae; Streptophyta; Magnoliopsida; Poales; Poaceae
Source: RefSeq, a predicted model, not a curated record
ACUUAUCUUAGAAAUGCGCGAAACCGGCACUGCCAGUCCCCGAGUUUCGGGUUAAGAACUUUGUUCUUAGCGCAACACUGAACUUAUUUCUUUUUCUUGAACAGCUCACGGCUGACGCUCGGAAGGCCCUCUUCGAGGAGCUUCUAUGGGAGCAUCGGGAGCUCGCUGAGGCACACGAUAAGUGCCAAGUGAUCCCGGAAGCUUCCAUCGAUGCUCUCAGGGAGUAGCUCGCCGCCGCCCAACGGGAGAAGGACCAGCUCAUCCGGCAGCAUCAGGAGGAGCUGAGCGCCCACAAGACCAGCUACCAGGAGCUCAAGUCCCAGCUCAUUCAGCUGGGGCUUGACCACGCCAAGGCCCUCAAAGCCGCUGAAGCGGCUGCAGCGGCCAAGUUGGACGAGGCUCUGGAGGACGCCAGCAAUGCCACCGUGGUAUUGCGAGCUGAGCUGGAGGAGCUGGCCAAGGCCCGGAAGGGUGCCGAGGAGAGAGCUGCGCGCCUGGAGGAGGAGCAGAAGGGGUGCAACCAGUUGAUCCAGCAAACUGAUACCCUUG